GACGAACGCUGGCGGCGUGCUUAACACAUGCAAGUCGAACGGAAAGGCCCCUUUGGGGGUACUCGAGUGGCGAACGGGUGAGUAACACGUGAGUAACCUUCCCUUGACUUCGGGAUAACUUCAGGAAACUGGGGCUAAUACCGGAUAGGAAUCCUUGCUGCAUGGUGGGGGUUGGAAAGCUUCGGCGGUUUUGGAUGGACUCGCGGCUUAUCAGCUUGUUGGUGGGGUAGUGGCUUACCAAGGCUUUGACGGGUAGCCGGCCUGAGAGGGCGACCGGCCACAUUGGGACUGAGAGACGGCCCAGACUCCUACGGGAGGCAGCAGUGGGGAAUAUUGCACAAUGGGCGGAAGCCUGAUGCAGCAACGCCGCGUGCGGGAUGACGGCCUUCGGGUUGGAAACCGCUUUCAGCAGGGGCGAAGCUUGUGGUGACGGUACCUGCAGAAGAAGCACCGGCUAACUACGUG
Molecule: ribosomal RNA, 465 nt
Filed under: uncultured bacterium
Lineage: Bacteria
Description: partial 16S ribosomal RNA
Rfam family: Bacterial small subunit ribosomal RNA
Source: RNAcentral